This 2032-nucleotide unclassified non-coding RNA is filed under the name Hevea brasiliensis (rubber tree). Lineage: Eukaryota; Viridiplantae; Streptophyta; Magnoliopsida; Malpighiales; Euphorbiaceae. The record is from RNAcentral.
UCUUCCUCCUCUUCCUCUUCCUCCAAAUCACCCCAAUGCUUGGUUUUAUCGACUGGCUCUUCCUCAUAAUUGGGCUGUUCUUGUUGCUGAACUCCGAAAACAUCUCCAUACAACGGACGACCAUAUUCAUCAACGGGAGGCUUUCCCCAGCCACCAGGAUGGUAACCAAAGCUAGCUCCAGGUGGUAUGGGAGCAUUGAGUCCAGGGAUUUUCAGGUGUGGGUAAGAUGGUGGAGGGCCAUACCUCUGCAUAUUGAUAAGCCAAGGAGGAGGAGCACCCUCUGGCAUACCAAGAGCUUCUUUUAAUUCUUGUGAAAGACUGCCUGGCUUCAUCUCUCUUAGCUUCACCUCAAAUUCUUUCCCUUCAUGAUAGAGGUCACCAUGAGUAGUAAGCUUUGGCUUUGUUUGGUACUUAAAAAAUGCAUCAUGAAGCACCUGAUAAUCGAUAUCCAUUUUUCCCAUCUUUGGCUGCAUACGUUCACGUUGCUUCUGCUUCAACUUCUUACUAUCCUCUUUUUCAAUGUAAGCCUGCAAAAGAAAAAUGGAGCAAAUUGUUAAGUCCAUUCAACAAAAAGUGCACGAACCAAAUUGAGAAACAAUAAAUGUUGUUUAAGUUUGAUGUCUGGUGGAUCCACCCAGAAGAACAUAUAACAAUAAUUCUUGCAGGCAUACUGGCUACCAGAAGUCAUUUCUCAAUGGACAAUGGUUCCAAAAUCCCACAAUAAAGAGGUACGGAAAGACAUCCAAUUAGCAUACUUGCUACAUCAUAACCACCUGUCUGAUUUUCUCAAUUCCUGUUGCAGCAAUAAAAUCAGGAAGCUGAAAAGGCUGCUUCUCAAUACCACGCUUUCCCUGCAAAACAAAUCCAAGACCUGAUGAGAUACAAAUAACUACACAAAUAUGAAUGUGUACAUAUAUACUAGAAGUAAUAAAUUUAGCAAUCAGCCCAGAUCACUUCACUUUAUGAAAAAUAAAAUAAAAUAGUAUAUUUAGACGAUUCUAUCCCGGGCAUUUAGCACAAUGGAAAGGCAUCUGAAAAUUCAAAGCAGAUGAAUUAGCACCUCAACAAUGAAAAAUCCCCGUAUGUAACAUGCAAAGAGAAACCAUGAUUGAAAGGAAGGGGACAAAAAUAAAAAUAAAUUUCCAAAAAAAUAUCAUAUGAAUAUCUAACGUCCCCAGCCACACUAGCAAAUUAUAUUAAAAGAGAAAUCACUCAAGGGUCCCCUUUGCCAAACACAUACAAGUCCAUGGCUCCAUCAAUGUCACAGCAGCUCCCCUGCAAAAAUUUCCUUUUCUGGCACCAAUGCCUUGGCACAGGAACAGAAUUUCUGUAUGAUUUCAAAAACACUAGCAACUUCGGGUCUGCUGCAGUAGCAUCCCACACCUCGACAACAUCAGGCCUUGAGCAUAUCUGUUUUAGUUCUGCAAUCUUCAUCCGUCGCAGAAGCUUUUUCUUCUUGUUGGAUAGGCCUUUUUCCUUCUGUGUGGUAUCUUCUUCUUCCUCUUCUGAGUCUGAGACAACCUUUUUCUUUGAAUCAGCAUUUUGGGCAGAUUCAUCUUUUUUAUCAUUCUCCUCAGAACCAGCAAUUUCAUGGAAAUUAAAUCUCUCAAAGAUCUUCCUGAAUUCGUCAUCAAAACCAUCUCCCAACUCUGCCUUUUCUGGGACAUACUCAACUUCCACUUGCUCCAAGACCUGUUGAUGAUCAGCGUUAUCCUUAGCAUCGUCGCCGUUAGCAUCAGCAGCGGCGUCAUCUUCACUUUCAUUGCCGCUAGCGGUGGCAUCGAGAGCCUGAGAAGCAGCCUUGUUGUUCUUCUUCUGCUUGCGCCUGCGACGGCGCCUUUCGCUCUCUCGGGACUUCUUGGCGGCGGCGUUUUUAGAGGUAGGGUUAGAUGUGGCCAGAUCUCCAUUGGAGACGACGCCGUUUUGGUACAGCAGAGUUUCGGCGGUCAUGGUUAUUCCGGUACUUCCCGGGACAGUUAGUAUCAAUGGAAAAGGAAAUCAAUUAACGGGGUUUUGGCUGGAGAGAUUCGAG